RNAcentral lists this ribosomal RNA (709 nucleotides) under uncultured Glomerales. RNAcentral's name for it is "LSU rRNA". It matches the Rfam family "Eukaryotic large subunit ribosomal RNA", at positions 38 to 633 of the family's 3401-position model. The record is from RNAcentral. Lineage: Eukaryota; Fungi; Glomeromycota; Glomeromycetes; Glomerales; Glomeraceae.
GCAUAUCAAUAAGCGGAGGAAAAGAAAAUAACAAUGAUUCCCUUAGUAACGGCGAGUGAAGAGGGAUAAGCUCAAACUUUAAAUCUGUCUGGUUAUACUAAACAGAGUUGUAAUUUGAAGAAACGUUUUCUGCGUCUUGAAUUAUCCUAAAUCCUUUGGGAUAAGGUAUCAUGGAGGGUGACAAUCCCGUUCAUGGUUAAUUCUAAGGUGCUUUACGAUCCGUUUUCCAAGAGUCGAGUUGUUUGGGAUUGCAGCUCAAAAUGGGAGGUAAAUUUCUCCUAAAGCUAAAUAUUGGCGAGAGACCGAUAGCGAACAAGUACCGUGAGGGAAAGAUGAAAAGAACUUUGAAAAGAGAGUUAAACAGUACGUGAAAUUGUUGAAAGGGAAACGAUUGAAGUCAGUCGUACCAACGGGAAAUCAACCUUUGGGGCGUUAAUUUUCGUUCUUUGGGCGUACUUUCUCGUACGGUAGGUUAACAUCGAUUUUGAACAUUAUAAAAUGACCGGAGGAAUGUAGCUUCGAUCUCGUAUUGAAGUGUUAUAGCCUUUGGUAGAUGUAAUGAUCAAGAUCGAGGAUUGCAACGAAUACCCUUUUGGGCUAUCCGUCUGAUCUCUAAUACGUUACCUUGGUGACGAAAGCGUGCUUUCGGCAUUAAGGUGAACGAUUAAAAGGUUAGAACGUGAUUAAAUUCGUUAAGGAUGUUGACGUA